RNAcentral lists this ribosomal RNA (418 nucleotides) under uncultured Gammaproteobacteria bacterium. Its description in RNAcentral is "bacterial SSU rRNA". It matches the Rfam family "Bacterial small subunit ribosomal RNA", at positions 75 to 483 of the family's 1533-position model. Lineage: Bacteria; Pseudomonadati; Pseudomonadota; Gammaproteobacteria. The record is from RNAcentral.
CUAGCUUGCUAGUUGCUGACGAGUGGCGGACAGGUGAGUAACGCGUAGGAAUCUACCGAGUAGUGGGGGACAACAGUUGGAAACGACUGCUAAUACCGCAUAAUCCCUGAGGGGGAAAGGAGGGGAUCUGUUUACAGGCCUUUCGCUAUUUGAUAAGCCUGCGUGAGAUUAGCUAGUUGGUGAGGUAAUGGCUCACCAAGGCGACGAUCUCUAGCUGGUCUGAGAGGAUGAUCAGCCACACUGGAACUGAGACACGGUCCAGACUCCUACGGGAGGCAGCAGUGGGGAAUAUUGCACAAUGGGGGAAACCCUGAUGCAGCCAUGCCGCGUGUGUGAAGAAGGCCUUCGGGUUGUAAAGCACUUUCAGCGAGGAGGAAAGGAGUAUGUUUAAUAAACGUGCUCUGUGACGUUACUCGCA